Molecule: ribosomal RNA, 484 nt
Filed under: uncultured bacterium
Lineage: Bacteria
Description: partial 16S ribosomal RNA
Rfam family: Bacterial small subunit ribosomal RNA
Source: RNAcentral
AUUGAACGCUGGCGGCAGGCCUAACACAUGCAAGUCGAGCGGAUGAAGGGAGCUUGCUCCUGGAUUCAGCGGCGGACGGGUGAGUAAUGCCUAGGAAUCUGCCUGGUAGUGGGGGAUAACGUCCGGAAACGGGCGCUAAUACCGCAUACGUCCUGAGGGAGAAAGUGGGGGAUCUUCGGACCUCACGCUAUCAGAUGAGCCUAGGUCGGAUUAGCUAGUUGGUGGGGUAAAGGCCUACCAAGGCGACGAUCCGUAACUGGUCUGAGAGGAUGAUCAGUCACACUGGAACUGAGACACGGUCCAGACGCCUACGGGAGGCAGCAGUGGGGAAUAUUGGACAAUGGGCGAAAGCCUGAUCCAGCCAUGCCGCGUGUGGGAAGAAGGUCUUCGGAUUGUAAAGCACUUUAAGUUGGGAGGAAGGGCAGUAAGUUAAUACCUUGCUGUUUUGACGUUACCAACAGAAUAAGCACCGGCUAACUUCGUG